GAAGCCCCGGGGUGGAAGCACAUCGAAAUGCAAGUUCGGAGAAGCACCCCAUAUGGGUGCCGGGGCUU
This 68-nucleotide transfer RNA is filed under the name Pachydactylus latirostris. RNAcentral's name for it is "Pachydactylus mariquensis latirostris tRNA-Cys". Lineage: Eukaryota; Metazoa; Chordata; Lepidosauria; Squamata; Gekkonidae. The record is from RNAcentral.